GCCAUAUUUAACGGUAUAAAGUGUUGUUACACAGUUACUAACAUCAUUGAAAUUUGAUUUACACAUUGAUUGGAUUACUACUGGAGAAAAUUUGCAAAAGAACGAUGCCAAGGUCAAGAAGGACGUCACAGAGUCACAGCCAAAAUCGUCAUAGGUCAAAGUCACGAAGCCAGCACCAGGCUUACCGCUCCCGAAGCAGAGAGUCGAGCCUGUCCAGCUACCGUAGUCGCAAGAGGAGAAGAGUACGUCAUUCCAGUGAUAGGCUUGAGUCGAGAUCAACAAAGCAUUGCAGUAGUGACAGGUAUCGGCGCGCAGGGAGGCAGAGCAGUGUGCGCAAGGACGGCGCCUACAGCUCGACCCGCAGCAGCCAGCAGCACCGCCGCGAUGUCUCCGCUGACAGGUACCACUCGAGGGACGGCAGCGGAGGACGGCACCACAGGCGGAGACACAAGCAUCACCGACACCACCACCACCACCGUCGCACCGACACGUCCGAAAGCCGGGAGAAACAUGAAAAGUUUCCCCAGUUCCAAACGGCCCGCUUUCCAAUUCUAAGUUUUGGCCAGUCGAAGACUUUUGCUGUUGCGGAUGGAAGGAAGCGCCCUGUACUGCUGACAAAGUUUAUCAGUCGCCGCACCAGCUCAAGUCCUGGAGAACCAAGUGUAGAAGAUGACGAAGAGGGUCACCUGAUCUAUCGACCUGGCGAUUGGCUGCAAGCUAGAUAUGAAAUCAAUGGCACCCUUGGAGAAGGCACCUUUGGUAAAGUGCUGGAGGUGAAGGAUCAUCAAAGCGCUAACGGCCAAACGAUUGCACUGAAGGUGAUCAAAAAUGUGGAGAAGUACCGGGAGGCUGCGAAGCUGGAGAUCAACGUCCUCGAAAAGCUCACGGAGAAGGAUCCAAAUGGCAUAUAUUUAUCCGUACGUAUGUUGGAUUGGUUCGACUACCACGGACAUAUGUGCAUUGCUUUUGAGAUUCUGGGCCUCAGCGUGUUUGACUUUCUGAAGGACAAUGGUUACCAGCCGUAUCCACUGGACCAAGUACGACACAUAGCCUAUCAGCUAUGCCACUCUGUCAAAUUUCUGCAUGGCAACCAGCUUACCCAUACGGACCUGAAGCCAGAGAAUAUCCUAUUUGUUUCCUCCGAAUACAUGAUUGAACAAAUCCCCAAACGGGUGAGUAGUUCUCGCAGCAGACAUAAACAGGUGAAAAAAAGAAUUCAAGCGGGUGCAAAACACAGAAAUCCGUCUGAUUGACUUUGGCUCAGCAACAUUUGACCAUGAGCAUCAUAGCACCAUAGUAUCAACGAGACACUACAGAGCGCCAGAGGUGAUAUUAGAACUAGGAUGGUCACAACCAUGCGAUAUAUGGAGCAUUGGUUGUAUUAUAUUUGAACUUUACCUAGGUAUCACCAUGUUCCAGACUCACGACAACCGCGAGCAUUUAGCGAUGAUGGAGCGCAUCUUGGGUCCACUGCCUUACCGACUCUGUCGGCGGUCGAAGACCAAGUACUUCUACCACGGCCGGCUG
RNAcentral lists this unclassified non-coding RNA (1527 nucleotides) under Priapulus caudatus. RNAcentral describes it as "serine/threonine-protein kinase Doa-like, transcript variant X9". The record is from RNAcentral. Lineage: Eukaryota; Metazoa; Priapulida; Priapulimorpha; Priapulimorphida; Priapulidae.